Small nucleolar RNA from Alligator sinensis (Chinese alligator), 214 nucleotides. RefSeq annotates it as small nucleolar RNA U3. The record is from RefSeq and is a predicted model, not a curated record. The transcript has a single exon. NCBI's taxonomy places the organism in Eukaryota, Metazoa, Chordata, Crocodylia, Alligatoridae.
AUGGUUGUACUUUCAAAGAUUGUUGCUAUAGUUGAUUUCUAGAGAGGAGUGUGUAAUAGUGAUUGUUUUUGUUAGCUAUGAUAAAGAGUCAUUAGUGAUCUCUUCUGUGUGUGAAGUUGGUAGGCAGUGCUGUUUGUAUACAGCUGCUGCUUAUUCUUGAUGAUUGCUGAGCUUCUUUUAGGGAGCUGAAGAAAGAAAGCACAAGCUGAGCGGU